GGAGGCACCACAGCCCUGCCCGGGGCCGCGCCGGCCACCAUGUGAUUAGGUAAUGUGAGACGCGGCUCAUUAUGCUUUGUCUGCAAUGAAUGCGGCCCGGCCACAAAGCGCUGGAACGUUCGGUUACAUUGAAACCCCCGCGGUAAGCGGGGAUUGCCUUACACUCCAAUAAAGCACACCAGAAAAGAGCAGUCAUUCGGACUAACCCAGUCCUCAAUGAACACUCGCGUUUGAUUUCUUCUGCUGAGUAGAAGACGGGUAAGUAAGACACGACCUAUUUACAGGUGGAGGGACCUGUAUCCCCAGACCAGCAUCUCCAGAAGCUUCCUCUGCAAGACACAGAAGACUCCCGGGCAGUCCGGCCUUGCUGGGCAGGGCGGGAGCUAUGCCUGUGCAGAGAUGAGGAGAAGUCAAUGGCUACCAUACAUUGACCUCCUACUACUUGCCAAGAAUUAUGCUAGGUAUGUUUUUCCAUCCCAAACCCUCAAGAUAACUGUAUUAAACCCUAGCUACGUUCUGAGAACAAAAGGAAACAAAAACACCCGCUAAUCUUUAUACAUUUUUCACCGUAAUGAAAGCCUAUCCAUUUGGGCCCCGUAGAUCUGAGUCCAGAAUUUUGGCCUGAGGCCUCCCCCCUGAUCCUCAGGCUUUAAGACCACACAGCACGGGUCAGCAAACCACAAAGGGAAGGCUUACUUUUCUCACCCUGACCCAGACCUCUGAAGCCUUCCUGAUGACGCCUUGGGCAGGGCUCACUCAGCUUGACAAACUUUUACCCGGAACCCUCUGAUCCCAUUUUGAUGAAUGAAGUCAAAACCCCAGUGGGUUCGCUCAUCUGGCUGCUAUAGCACAGCCAGCCAAAGGUAGGUCUUGGCUGCGUUUUCCUGCGAGCUGCUUAGGAACUGGGGGUGUGCUGGGGAGGGGCCGGAAGGGACCCUGGAAUCAGGGAAGAUACGGGCAUGUAUCCUUCUGGCUGGGGCUUCUCCGAUUAGGCCAAGGAUCAGGUGCAUGGAAAGAACAGGCUGGGGAUGAGAUUGGUGAAGAAUUUCCCUUGGUGAGAGAAGAGGGAGGGGUCCACAGGACUGGCGGCUUGGAUCAGAUCCUCCAGUGAUGCCUAGAGUCUGGGGCUUCUGGAGGUCCCAGGUAAGGAGACAGCUCUGCUCCCUGGGGAGGAGUCUAUUAUGUCAAUUGCUGGGAAACACGGUUAGUUGAACUGACUAUUGCCCUGGCAUGUGGGGGGAGGGGGGGGGAGCGGGGGUACUGUUGUUAGGGAAACCAUGGAGAGGAAGGAAACAAAACGCUUUGGAUGGGUGCUGCACUCCCCUGGGUCCGCCUGCUGGGUGUUGAUUGGACAGCCCGCCCAGAAGAGGUUUCACGUUAUGCAGGCAACUGUUGUUGCCCAGAGAGCCCAGGGCUGCCUCGCUCCCUCGGGAGCUGAUGUUUCGGGAACCGUGGAAGCAGCUGGUUUAUGGAAGCGUCGAACAACGUGAGCUGCGGAAUCUGCCAGAUCCCAAACAGCUCUUGCCAAGCACCCUUUCUUCUAGAUUUCGAACUCAUCUGUGUUUCAAAAGCAAUUUUGUUUAAAUGGCUUAUCCCCCCUACUCCCAAUCUGUGGGAAGCUGCCACGCGCAGGCAGGAAAGGGACUCUCCAGGAUCCAUUCGCGACGGCUGCCGUGAGCCAGAACCCGGGGCUGAGGCCGCACAGGAGUCAAGGGCCCGCAUUCCUAGGAGGGGUUGGGGGGGGGGCGCCUUCAAGGGAACACAGAGGGCAGGUGUGUGGCUCCUCAGUCCCCUGGCUUAGGUCUCUAGGCAGAUAAUUUUGCAACUUUCAAUUCCUAACCCAGCCAGCAUUGUUUGUACUUGGGACAAGUCAUUCGAGCCUGGGGACUAGGAACACGUCAUGUAUUAUCUUCACUUCUCUAAGAAAGGUGUGGGGCUUCCCUUGAAUGAAUGAAUGAAUGAAUGGGCUUAUGGUGUCGGCCACUGGCAAAUUCUGUAGCUCCCUGCCCACCCAAGGACUUCUCCAAGGAGCCUCUGGGGGCUCCUUACAGGGAACCCGGUCCUGAGGACACACGUACCAUGUAGCCCUCCAUCACGCCGUCUUGUCCAGACCCUAGGGGUUCUGGAAGAGAGGGGGAAGAAAAACAACGCCUCCAGACAUUGGGCAAACCGCUGGCCUAAUUCAUUCACUAUGGCGACUUUUUCAUCCGUAGGCCCGGCACUGCUUGUGUAGUUGGGUCUGUGAAGGUUCCCUUUCAAGUAGGACAGCUGCUUGGCGUUCUGGGCUCACCAUGUGGAGGGCAGAUGUGACAUCCUCUCGGAACACACUUGUUGGUGGGCAGCAAAGUCGAAAGGCAAACCCCCACGAAACCUGGCUAACUUCUUUUUCUUUUUGACUUUCCAGACCUCAGUACCCAUCUGGAUACUUCAUUAGGGUCCUAAGACAUCUGGGGACCAGCGAUGGAAGAAACGUGCUUGUGUCGGGCGCCUAUCAUACGCCCGCACGGUGCUGAGCCCUUUCCAAUAUGGUAUCUCGGAUAGUCCCCCACCAAAAAAAAAAAAAAAGAAAAGAAAAGAAAACCUGCCAGAGUGGAACUAUCAUUUCCAUUUUAUGAAUGAGGAAACAGGCUCAGAGAGGCUGAGUGACCUACCCAAGGUCACACAGGUGGGAAAUAGCAGUUCCUGAAUUUGAACCAAGAUGAUGACAUUGUCAAGGGGCAGUUUGGGAGGUUUUCAUUGCGGCCCCAUCUCCGGCAGCAACGUCCUUCCCCAUGACAUCCCGCUCCCCCAAAUAAAUACACAGUCUGAGUAAGAAGAAUAUGCAGGGGACACGAUGACACUUUAGGGGUUCCCCUGCCUCCUCCCUUUCACAGAGAUGGCUGCCCCAAGCCCCUCUGCACAGACACCCUGGAGUCCCCACUAAAUCAAGAUCUGUCUGACUCUGAAGGACAGGUCCUCCCAAUACAACCGGAUGUCAGUUCUCUUCGAUGCCUACCAAGAAGACCUUUGCUUUGUUAAAACCUUUACGUACAAGAGCCAGUCAGUCAGCGUAGGAUUCCCCUAACGGAGACCCGAACCACAGAUUCCAGAAUUUCACCAGCCUACCCAAGGUCGCCAGCCCAUGAAAUGCCCCACACCUCUCAGGGAACAGUGAUGCAUCGCAUCCUGGCGGGGAGCACGGGCGUGAAGAAGCACAGCUUAGUGAUGUAGAUCAGAGUUUCCAUUUAUGUUGAAGCAUCUGCUGGCCAAGGUCCAGUUCAUUUUGGGUUCCAGCUAAAUUUAUUCGGCCUCAGGCGCCUGGGUGGCUCAGUCGGUUGAGCGUCUGACUUCAGCUCUGGUCGUGAUCUCCACAGUCCGUGGGUUCCAACCCCGCGUCGGGCUCUGUGCUGACAGCUCGGAGCCC
This 3403-nucleotide long non-coding RNA is filed under the name Lynx pardinus (Iberian lynx). The stretch from base 3296 to 3381 matches the Rfam family "tRNA". The record is from RNAcentral. Lineage: Eukaryota; Metazoa; Chordata; Mammalia; Carnivora; Felidae.